This 420-nucleotide ribosomal RNA is filed under the name Desulfovibrio sp. canine oral taxon 070. Its description in RNAcentral is "bacterial SSU rRNA". It matches the Rfam family "Bacterial small subunit ribosomal RNA", at positions 9 to 418 of the family's 1533-position model. Lineage: Bacteria; Pseudomonadati; Thermodesulfobacteriota; Desulfovibrionia; Desulfovibrionales; Desulfovibrionaceae. The record is from RNAcentral.
GAGUUUGAUUCUGGCUCAGAUUGAACGCUGGCGGCGUGCUUAACACAUGCAAGUCGAACGUGAAAGGGGCUUCGGCCCCGAGUAAAGUGGCGCACGGGUGAGUAACGCGUGGACAAUCUGCCCUUAUGAGUGGGAUAACAGUUGGAAACGGCUGCUAAUACCGCAUACGCUCAGGAAUGACUUUUUGAGGAAAGGCGGCCUCUGCUUGCAAGCUGUCGCAUAAGGAUGAGUCCGCGUCCCAUUAGCUUGUUGGUGGGGUAACGGCCUACCAAGGCAACGAUGGGUAGCCGAUUUGAGAGGAUGAUCGGCCACACUGGAACUGAAACACGGUCCAGACUCCUUCGGGAGGCAGCAGUGGGGAAUAUUGCGCAAUGGGCGAAACGCCUGACGCAGCGACGCCGCGUGAGGGAUGAAGGUUUU